CCACUCUGCCAUUUUGGGAAUGCAGCCAUAGACAAUAUACAAUAGAGUACACAAAGGAAUGAACAUGACUAUUUUCCAAUAAAACUUGCUUUAAAAGAAGUCAGCAGGCCACAUUUGCAAGUUGUGGUUUGCUGGUCACUAGUCUACAAGUUUUUUUCAGUGCUAACUAUCCAUUGGGUCAUCUUGAGCUUUCAUUCAUUUACUCCCAGACUGUGACCAGAGUUUAAUUUUAAAAAUGAAAAACAGUCCCUUAAAUUUAGCACUGUAUUGGAAUUAGCUACAUUUUUUCACAGACAGAAACUGGGAAUGGCACAGUGAACUCAUAUCUAACUUGGCUGACUUCUUUCAUAUGAAAAGAAAAUUUAACAGGUGCCAUUAAAAAGCAAUACCAUUUUUCAGGCAACAUUAACUGCAGUAGCCUUUGGGAGAGGGGAGGACAUUGAGUUUUAAGUUCUUUCAAAAGUAGUAUCACCAACUAUUUUAUCUUAAACGCAGCUGUGUUGCUACAAAAGUGGUUUGGACUAGAAGGUAUUUUACCUUCAUAGUAGAGUUUGAACUCCCUCUACUGUUCAUUAGAAUAUUUGCAAAGAUUUUACAAAAGAUAGAUUAGGAUAUCAUUGUCCCCCAAAUGAACAGAUGUCUACAUAUUUCACUAAGCAUUAAAUAGGGUAAGCACUAAUUCCUUACUCAAUAUUCACUGUAUUAAGCAAUGUAUAAAUCAUUUCUAAGCAAACAGGUUGUCAGGACGAUGAGAACUUUACCUUCGACCAAGGAUCUAAACAAGGAAAAGCCUAAAAACAAAUUUCAUUUCAACUGUCUUAUUAAAGAGGAAGACAGAAAUAAUAACUGUGAUUGUCAAUAUAUGUAACUCAGGGGUCGUCCAGAUAAUCCUCAAGUUGAUCUCUUUGAAAAAAGUGAGCUCCAUUUGUCCAAAAUGGUUGAGAAAGUCUAUCACAGUUACUUGAAAAAUUCAGCUAACAGUUUUAUGAAAUGCAUGCCACCCCCCACAUCCUUGAAAUUGUUGACCAGAAUUAAAUAUUGUUACUACUAAUACUAAGGAUACUGCAAAAGGUCUUUCAUUGAGAAGGCAGAUCAGUAUCAUCCUACCUAUACUGUUAAAAUGAAAUGAAUAGAUCCAAAUUCUACAAUGUUAUGAAAAUACAAGAUGAUUUUACUCAUAGAAAUUUUACCUUUUAAAACACUAUAUACAUGGAGGAAACUAGUUCAGUGUGACCUAACUCUUGGGAACAUACUGGAAGUUCAUCAUUAUGAUAAAUGAGUACUGGAUGGCCUUUUUUAGAAAACUACAAGGAGGAGAAUGUAGGUAACUGACUAUUUUGGACAAAUGAAAGGUUACUGUAUUCAUGUUCAUAACAUGAAAAUGGCCUUAUUUUUGUUCCUGGUCUGAGUCAAUAAUGAGUUAAGUAAUUUACUGAAAUUUCAUCAAAACCUUAUUCCUCCUGUUCAUUCUAAGAAUUUAGGAGGGGAAUAUAGUAGUAACUUCUCUAUUGACACUUUUGCCUUACCAAAAUGGUCUGUGAGUCCACAAAGAUUAAGAAUUAUUGUUCCAGAAUUAUGAAGGUCUACUUGGUGUGAAAAAGAAAUGAAAAACAUUGACACGAUAUUAUGCUAUUUUGUUGGACUGUUUCAGUUUAAGCCACAGACAAGUGGCAUAACUGAUCUCUUGAAAGGGGGUGAUUUGCUCAUUCAUCAUUAUCUAAUCUAGGAAACUGACCAUAAUCAUUAUCUCAAAGACUUUUUGAGGACAUUAUGAUGUAGCUUAAAGCUGAAUUGAAAAGGAGUGCAUAAAAGCAUGUUCUUUAAUUACUUACAACAAAGCACAAAAUACUUAUAACAAGACAAAUACUUAUGGAAUCAUCUUAUGUAAGACAUUCUGCUAAGCACUGUAAAAUAUUACAGCUUUUGUUUACAUACAUAUGUAAGACGUUCAAAAGAAGGAAAAAAUGCUUAAUGAGUUAAAAUGACACUCACAUCACCCUUCACUCUAGAUUUGGUAUUCAGUGUGGUUGGUAUUUUUCCUUCUAUGUCCAUGCUCUUAGGCUUUGGCUAUCUCACUCCUCCACCCUCAGGCAGAUGGCAGGGGUCACGAUGGCUUAAUUAGAGCCCUUUAGAGUUCCUGGACAUUUCAACGUAUAGUCACUUAUUUAAAGCUUCUUACAGGAAGCAAGUUAACACCUCUCAAUUUUUUUUAACCUCCUCUAACUCCUUUUAUAUCCCUGCUCCUUUAUAAUGAUUUGCUCUCCCUGGUUUCUGUCUACUCUGCUCUCCUUUCAACAACUAAUCUUUUCUGCUUCCCCCAGAACCACUUCCUACUAACAUGCCUCAAUUUUUAAUAAGGAAAAAAAGUGACUAUCUAUAUGUCCCUCUUAUUGGAGUUAAAGUGUCAUGGAAAGUGUGAAUAUUUCUGUUUAAACAGAAUGUACUGGUCAAAGACAUGAGUAAAAAAGAAAAGAAAUGAAAGCUGUGAAGACAUGCCAAAACUAACCCUUUCUGUAAAAGUAUCAAUUCCCAUCUUAGAUUUAGUCCUACACAGUACUCUCUCCCUUAACCUACCUUCCUUUUGCCUUUUUCUUCACAUACCACCCUACAAGACAGCGAGGGAGGCUUGCACUUUCCAAACUUUUACAAGGAGGGCCUAUUCUUAGGCUCAAUCAGGGCUUGAAUAGAUUUGCAAAGAUCAGGCUUUCCUGGGGAGUUCCCUGGUGGUCUAGUGGUUAGGAUUUGCCACUGCAGCCUGGGUCAAUGCCUCGUCUGAGAAUUGUGAUCCCAUAUCAAACCACUGCACACCAUGCCCCCCCCCAAAAAAAACAAAACAAAACAAAACAAAAAAACAGGUUUUCUCAAAUGAUCCAGGGUCUCACUAUGUUUAAGAUUAUUACCCAAUUCCAGUGUGCUUUUUGUUCUAUUUCCCCUCUAAGCUUGAGAGUGUUGAAAGGAGAGCAGUGCAGAACAGGUAUGUGAGGAUUCACAGUAGUGACCUUUCUUGUCCUACCUGGUCCUGCUCUGCAGCAGACAUGACUCUUUAUAAAAAAGAUGUUUUGCAGUGGGAUAUGAUAAUUCUAACAGGGACACUGAAAAAUGGUUAUGUCUACAUUAUUAAAUGAGUGAAACAAAUACUAAAUGGAUAGUUAAUUUUGUAGUUUUACGUUUUUUGUGCUUUUACCAAGCCAGGUUUUUAAAACAGGCAGUUGUAUGAAGACCUUUAGUUUGGAGUGUCAUGUUUCCAAUGAUCAAAAAUCUCUUGUCUACUUAGAAUAUCAUUGGGUGUCUACUUAGAGUAUCAUUGGGUAUCAUUCUUAAGGUUGUGUUUUAUAGAUUUUUUUUUUCUUUUAAGCAACAGUUUCUAGAUUAUCUACUUCAAUUCCUCAAUGAACUCUUUCAAACUAUUUUUCAGGACUCUAUGUUUAUUUUGUAAAAGUUAAACAUUAAAAUUUCCUUUCUGGUACUUUUUCCUGCCUAUUUUUAGCACAGAUUUGAAGCAAUCAAUAUCUGUCAUUGUAAAAUAUAACUAUUAAAUUUGAGAUAUGUCUUUCUAUAAAUUAUAAUCCCCAAUUGUGUUUUUUGUUAAUUACUUAAAUAUUUAUAUUUAUUUUGUUUAAAUAAGGAGGCAGCUGUCUAAGAAGUUUUUGUUAAUAUUACUUUGUAAAUUGUGUAAUUUAUUUUAAAUUAUGUACAUUUCUUUUUUAAUGCACAAAAUGUCUAUGUACAAUUAACUACAGAUUUGCAAAUAAUGUCACUAAGCUUUAUUCAGUUAAUACAGAUGGCAUGUGAAGAUGUAAUAUGCUUUUUUUACAUUUUCAUAUGGGUUAUUUGUAAAUAACUAUGUUGCUGACAAACAUAAACACAGAUAUCAUUUUCAUU
RNAcentral lists this long non-coding RNA (3882 nucleotides) under Sus scrofa (pig). RNAcentral describes it as "lncRNA (ENSSSCG00000058419.1)". The record is from RNAcentral. Lineage: Eukaryota; Metazoa; Chordata; Mammalia; Artiodactyla; Suidae.